This 1170-nucleotide long non-coding RNA is filed under the name Glycine max (soybean). RNAcentral's name for it is "long non-coding RNA (GMAX_LNC000283)". The record is from RNAcentral. Lineage: Eukaryota; Viridiplantae; Streptophyta; Magnoliopsida; Fabales; Fabaceae.
UUGCACAACAUGCAACCCUAUUUCUCACUAUAAAUACACCCCUAAGCAAAUUAGUUUAACAUAAAAGAAAAAAAAAAAGAAUAAAAGAGUACGUAUUCUCUCACCAAUAAAUAAAAGAAGAUAUCAUUUCAAUUCAGAAUAAAAAAGAUGAAGACCCAGAAUGUGAUGUUUGUUGUGUUGGUGGUGUGCCUUGCCGUGUGCGUGGGCACUUCCUGGGGCCAUGAUUUCAUUGAUGACGCCAAAACCAAAGCAGGGCAGGCCAAGGACACCGCCGUUGACGCUGCCGCACCAACGGUUAACUCCGUCAUUGAUGCCGCAGCACCGACCGUCGAUGCCCCCGCACCGACCAUUGAUGCUGCCGCGCAGAAGUCUGGGUCUUUUGCUUCAUGGGCUUAUGGCAAAAUUUCCCAGUAAUCCUCUUUCUCUUUCUCACACAUGCUAUACUAUCUAGAAUAAUUAAAAUAAAAUAUUAUUGCCGGAUAAGAAAUAAAUUUUAGUUUAUGUUAUACUAAAAUUAAUUUUUUUUAUAAAAAAAAGACCAGUGGAAAUAUUUACUAAUGAUUUGUCGUUUAACUAAUAUUUUCUUUUUAAUGGAAAUUAAAUUAUUAGUAUGAGGAAUGCAAAUUUAGUAAUUAUCUAUGCUGAUAAUAUUUUUUUUUUAUGAUUACUAUGAUAAUAUGAUAUAUCAUAAUAACACAUGUUAUGGUUAGUAUAAAUAUUAUUAAUUGUUACAUUUCUAGUUUUCUUGUUCAUAUAAGGCCAAACCUUGAGUAAUAUAUCUUUUUUCACUCAUUAGCUUACAAUUUUGUUGUUGUGAUGAUAGUGGCUUGGGGUUCAAAUCGGGAGACCAAGACUAAGUAAGAGAGGACUCCAAGUUCAAUGGAUUAUUAAGGGACUCCUAAUAUGUUGCUAAUUGGAUAUGUUUUAGCAAUGUUUUGACCGUUAUAUCAGUAACGGUUUAACGAGUCUGUUUUCUUUUUUUCUUUUGUUCCCACGACUGUGGCUGAAUUCCCCAGUUGCUGAGGUUCUUUUGACUCGGGCUACGUGAAGCCUAAUAAAACCUUUUUUUUUUUUUACAUUCACAUUUUCUCUUCCACGUCUUAUUUAUCUUUCAUCUACUCCCUUUUUAGCUUGUUCUUCAUUUGAUUUUCUCCAUCAUAACACUUUAAC